AAUCUGACUGAUUGUUUACAGCGUUUUCAGCAGUUGUUGCUGUUGUUCCGCAACUUUUUGUGCGAAGAAAUUGAUUAAAUUAUUUGAUAUUCGCACAUAGAAAGUGAAAAUCAGUUAAAAUUUACUCUGCGGAAGCUCGACUGUAAGCAUAUAACAAACUCGAGCUCAUUGCCUCCAUAAUGGACCUGGACACCUCCGAGAGCAAUCGAAAACGAGGUAAAAAUUUUAACAUCCGCCAAGACCGUCAAGUUUGUCUUUCAUGGAUUCACGCCAAAAGGCAAGAAGAACUGGGCGACAAUGCGCCGGCCGAUGAAAUUCGCUCGGAUCCGUUCAACGUUUGGGACACCCUCUACGAGCAUGCCGUUCAUAAUGAUCCCAAUUUCGAAAAGCGCUCCGUCGAUGGACUGCGGCACCGGUUCACGUUGCUUCAGCGUCAGGUUCGGAGGUUUGCCGAGUGCUAUACGGUCGCGAUGAGGGAGGAAGGCGACCCCGAUAAGACAUUCGCCAAUGCAAUGCAGCAUUACUCGGAAGUCUACAAGGGGCAAUUCCGAUUUCUGUGCUGCUACCGAAUAUUGAGGAAACAUCCAAAAUUCCAUGACAUGCCAGAAAUCAAUCCGAGUAUUGCUUUAGAAAAGAUGACGGCAAACCGAGAUGAUGAAGAAUGUGAACCAGUUUCUACCGGAAAUAGUAACGAUGCAUCCGAGUGCAACCGAAAACAAGGAACGAGAGGGAGAAACUUUACCGCUGAGCAUGACGUGCAAAUAUGCCUUUCCUGGCUUUAUGCGAAAAAAGAUGAAGAACUUGGCCGCAAUACCUUUCAAUUGGAGCCCUUCAAUGUUUGGACAGCCCUUCGUCACCACGCCGCUACUAAAAAUCCGGAUUUCAAUCAUCGCAGCGAUCUGAGUUUGCGAAGCAGAUUUUUCAAAAUCCAGCAUUUGGUUAAAAACUUUUUCGAACUGUACAAUGAGGUUGUGCAAGAUGAAAAUGACACGGAAAUGGUUUUGGCACUGGCAAUGCAGCGCUACAUGGACAAAUACAAGGAAGAUUUCAAGUUUUUGGACUGCUUUCACCUUUUUCAAAAGCAUCCAAUAAUGCAGAAACAGCUGGAUGCAGUGUAUGCUACAACAUCUAAAUUACAGGACAAUCUUGACAGUGACGACCAGGGAACAUCCAUUGUACCAGACGUCGUUCCUCCCCUGGGAUUGUUUACUUCCGAGGAUCUCACUCAGGCCAUGACGACAUCUUUCAAUGAAGACAAACACCAGCCCGUGGCCCAGGAAAAAUCGGAUGGUGAACGAGCACCUUUGAGAGGUAAAAAUUUCACCGCUAGUCAGGAUAGGCAACUUUGUCUAUCAUGGAUCGAUGCAAAGGAGGCAAAAUCAUUAUUCGAUUCUGCCAGUUCAAAACCGUGCGGCUUUUGGCAAACUGUUUAUAAUAAUGCGGUUUCCAAAGAUUCGAGCUUUGUAGUACGAGCACCUAAAGGCUUAAAGUGUAGGAUGCAUGUGAUUCUAAAAUAUACACGACAGUUUGCGGAUUGCUACAACAUGUUCGUACCGCUGAAACAGCAGACAGACACAGAAAAAAGUGUUUUACAAAGGGCGAUGCAGUCUUACAAAGUCAAAUAUAACCAACCUUUCAAAUUUGUCCAUUGCUGGUUAAUUCUGAAACAACAUUCAAUUUUUUGUGCGAUGGCGGAAGAUGUUUCAGCAUCACAAUCGGAUGUAUCGAAACCGGAUCAAGAAGACGAAGCAUUGUCUAAUAAUUGUAAGACAACUCUCAGAAUAAUUAUUAGACGAGAUGAAAUACAGGCUUUGCUAAAGGCAUGCUAUGAUAUUGGUGUUGAAGAGGUCCGAUCUCGAGGGAAGCCAAUAGAACCGCUGUUCUACGAUGUACAACAACAGAUGGCAGCGUAUGGCAAGUUUACCAAAAGAAGGCUACCCAUGCUUAAACAUAUGUACGAUAAAACAAAACGGGAGUAUAAGGAUGACCAGCUGGAGCCGUAUCCACCAGAGGCAAGAAUUCUGUGGGGAAGUCGAGGAACCAGCAAAGAGGAGCAAGCGAACGAUCUCCAUUGGGAACGAUUGAUCCAGUCCAGCUUAGAUAAUAAAACGGGUUCGUCGUUCUUAUCCAGUUCGGAAAUCAAAGAACUACUUAAGCAAGCAAUCAAAAACAAAGUGGAAUCCGAUCCCAACAGCGAGAGAAUUUUCUACCGAAUGCUGAAAAAUAUGCAAUCGCAGAAACUAUGCCGUCGAAAGGAUAUAGACCAGCUGAUGGAAGACUAUCACAGAUUGAAGCGACUAUUCCUUAGUGGCUCAUCCAAAAGUUUACCGCCGGAGGCAACUCAGCUUUGGAAUUCCGGUCCAAGUGAUGAUUGCGAUGAACAGAAAAUAGAACCGAUCGAGCAUAUUGACUUUGCUGAAUGCAACAUGAAAGUGGAAACGGAUUUCUGCCGCAUUUGUCAGACACAGCUGCUCGAUCAAUCUAAGGACCUAUUCUUCGAUGCACAUAAUGCACAAACAUAUGCCGACAUCAUCCAAGAAACGUUGAACGUUAAGAUGAUCAAUGAUGGAUUGCAGUCCAAUUUCCUUUGUGACAGCUGUGCAGGUUUCAUAGCGAGCCUUGUAACUUUUGUACAACAAUGCCGUAACAGCUGCGGUGCACUCAAAGUAACCAAAGACAUCGCUGCCACAACCUCAGGAUUCACUAAACUCGAACUUGAGGCUUCCGACACUAACAUCGAAUUCUUAGAUGAGGAAGCUUCUAAUUGUACCGCCUUCGAUUUUCCCGGAUUUGACGACAAUUUCGACCCAGAGGAUGACAAUAUGGAAAUAGACAGCAAAGUUAAUCUGGAAGAAACCAAACUUGCUGAAGUUGCUCCUAGCGAUGAUCAUUGUGAGGACAAUUCAGAGUCCAAUUUGGACGUGCCCACUCCCAUGGAUCUCCAAGCUGAGGACAAUGCAGUAACAGAUCCUGCAGAAUCAACUGUUACAGUAACAUCAACCGCUCCACCGGGCGAUGGAACUUCCGGAGACAAUCCAAAAGUAGAAACUACGAGGAAAAAGCUCGUUUAUCGCAAAUUGAACCGGACGAGAAGGGAGAAAAACAAAGUAAACAAAAAGCAGUGCCACUUUUGCGGCGUACGGGUAAAUGACAUAGCGAGACACAUUGAAAGCCACGAGGAAACCAAUUAUCAGUGCACAUUUUGCGACCGAGUAUGUCCAAACCGGAAACAACUUCGAAUCCACAUGAACCGCCACACAAAGGAGCGCGAAUUUCCCUGUCGAUACUGUGGCAAAAUAUUCUACGUUUGGUCAUCGCGAAAGAAUCAUAUAAAAAAUAUGCACGAGGAGGAGAGAUUCCAAUGUGACAUGUGUGAUGCGGUAUAUAAAUUCAAAAGUUAUCUUCAGCAGCACAAAAAGUUUGUCCAUUUAGGAAUUCGGGACCUGAAGUGCACGAAAUGUGAUUUCAGUACGUCAAUCAAGACUCGGUUGCUAAACCACUUCCGCAGUAUUCACACCAGCGAACGUCCGUACAAAUGUACGGUGUGCGAUCAUCAGUCGAACAGUAACACCGGAUACUAUAUCCACUUUCAACGACACAAGAAGUCUGGCGAAGCUACUAGCUAUACGAUCAAAUGCGCUUACUGUGCUGAAAUUUUCGAUAAGGAUCGCUCGCUCGAAGUUCACAUUGUUAAGGUGCAUCCUGAUCGAGCCGUUUUAAUUUGAGAUUUUCAGGAGUAAGCUCUCAUGGACUGUUUUUUUUUGUCUAAUAUUUAUGUCUGCUGUUACACCAAGAUAUUGUUACUUUUCCGAACGCAACCUUUAAUCAAUCGACUGAAUAAAAAUACUAAAGUUUCAACGA
RNA transcript from Aedes albopictus (Asian tiger mosquito), 3861 nucleotides. RefSeq lists it as uncharacterized. NCBI's taxonomy places the organism in Eukaryota, Metazoa, Arthropoda, Insecta, Diptera, Culicidae. The transcript has 7 exons. The record is from RefSeq and is a predicted model, not a curated record.